GUGGACGCCAGUCUGCGUGGAGCCGGCCUUGAAAUACCACCCUUUAAUGUUUGAUGUUCUAACGUGGACCCGUAAUCCGGGUUGCGGACAGUGUCUGGUGGGUAGUUUGACUGGGGCGGUCUCCUCCUAAAGAGUAACGGAGGAGCACGAAGGUUGGCUAAUCCUGGUCGGACAUCAGGAGGUUAGUGCAAUGGCAUAAGCCAGCUUGACUGCGAGCGUGACGGCGCGAGCAGGUGCGAAAGCAGGUCAUAGUGAUCCGGUGGUUCUGAAUGGAAGGGCCAUCGCUCAACGGAUAAAAGGUACUCCGGGGAUAACAGGCUGAUACCGCCCAAGAGUUCAUAUCGACGGCGGUGUUUGGCACCUCGAUGUCGGCUCAUCACAUCCUGGGGCUGAAGUAGGUCCCAAGGGUAUGGCUGUUCGCCAUUUAAAGUGGUACGCGAGCUGGGUUUAGAACGUCGUGAGACAGUUCGGUCCCUAUCUGCCGUGGGCGCUGGAGAACUGAGGGGGGCUGCUCCUAGUACGAGAGGACCGGAGUGGACGCAUCACUGGUGUUCGGGUUGUCAUGCCAAUGGCACUGCCCGGUAGCUAAAUGCGGAAGAGAUAAGUGCUGAAAGCAUCUAAGCACGAAACUUGCCCCG
RNAcentral lists this ribosomal RNA (638 nucleotides) under Salmonella enterica subsp. enterica. RNAcentral describes it as "partial 23S ribosomal RNA". It matches the Rfam family "Bacterial large subunit ribosomal RNA", at positions 2164 to 2801 of the family's 2925-position model. The record is from RNAcentral. Lineage: Bacteria; Pseudomonadati; Pseudomonadota; Gammaproteobacteria; Enterobacterales; Enterobacteriaceae.